UUGUUGAAAACUUAAAACCCUAAAAUGACCACUACAAUAACAAGAACAACUUCACAGCUGCUUUUACAAAAUCGACACAAUAAUGAAGUAAUGAAAAUGUCUUUGCUGUCAGGACCAUCUGCAAGCCGCGCAUUUCUGGGUGAAGAGAGAUACACUCAGAUUUGGCAUGCUGUGUGUGAGUACAGUGGCGAUGGGGAACAAGAACAACUUCACAGCUGCUUUACAAAAUCGACACAAUAAUGAAGUAAUGAAAAUGUCUUUGCUGUCAGGGCCAUCUGCAAGCCGCGCAUUUCUGGGUGAAGAGAGAUACACUCAGAUUUGGCAUGCUGUGUGUGAGUACAGUGGCGAUGGGGUGAAACCCAACAUCUCCUGGGUCCUUCCUGAUGAAGACACUGUAACUCAGGCGACUACUGAGGUCAAAUAUAAUGGAAUUAAAGUAGAAGUCAAUUCAACUCAUGAAUUUCAACUCAGUCAGUAUGAGGGGAAAGAUUUAAUAUGUCUGAUCCAGAACAAGCUCGGCAGGGAUGAGAGACGGACAAUACGAGUUCCAAAAUACUCUAUCUCAUCUAUUGAGGUUUUAAACGAAACCACACUUGAUCGUAGAAGUCAUGGCCAGAAUGAGCAUCGUUUAGCGUUGCAAGAAAAUCUCUCAAAUCAGAAGAUACUUCUCAGAGCCCAUGGCAAUGCUCCAUCAUACAAGACAAUAUGUUACAGGGAGGACGGGUCAGCAGCUGACACCGUGGGCAUGGCAUUGGUUUUUACAGAACCAGAGUCUGAACUGGAUGCAGGACUGUACAUAUGCCACGUCUCGUACCACCACCACAUGGCUAAAGUUUUCAUUCGGGUGGAUGUAACUAGUGAAGAGACUCAACACAUGAUAUUCAUCACUAUUUGCUUCUCGUCAGCCGCUGCAAUCACCCUCAUCCUGAUUAUCAUUUUGGUUGUCCUCUGCAAAAGUGGGAGUAGUCACUCAUCACAAAAGAAGAAAGACAGGAGAGAGCGUGAGUCUCUAGCUGCUCUAAUGCAGGACCCUCGCUGCCCAGACAAGACUGUGAUUCCAGGCACGGCUGGGCCGCACUAUGCUGAGCUUGUGCACUAUUCCAUUGUUUUUGAUGCUAAAAGCACCGUGUGACACACCUGUUGAAUUUUAUGACCGUAAUAUAUACGUUUUUGCACAUACUUGUGGAGUUCAUCACAGCUUGAGUGCAUUAAAAGGGGGACAUGUUUAAGAAAUGAAUUCAUUUUCAGUCAGAUUGUUAUGCUGAUAAUGUAACUGGUAAUGGAAAAAAGAAAAUGAACAUUUGCUGAAAGUUUACUCAACCUAAGGCCAUCCAAGAUUUUAGAUGAAUUGUUUCAUCUGAACAGAUUUGGAGAAAUUUAGUUUUACACCAAUGGAUCCCCUGCAGUGAAUGGGUGCCGUCAGAAUGAGAGUCCAAACAGCUGAUAAAAACAUCACAAUAAUCCACACGUAAUCCACACGACUCCAGUCCAUCACUUAACAUCUUGUGAAGUGAAAACCUGCGUGUUUGUAAUAAACACAUCCAUCAGGUUUCUCCAGAUCUGUUCCGAUGAAGAAACAACUCAUCUACAUUAGAUGGCCUGAGGGUGAGUAAAUUUUAAGCAAAUGUUUAUUUUUGGAUGAACUAUUCCUUUAAUAAGAAUAUUUCACUAGUGGUCUCAGGGGUUUUGGACCCCACUGUAUAUACACAUUGCAAUUGGUGUUUUUGAUAUGUAGCUGUUCUUUUUCCUCAAUUACAAAUACCAAUUGUAAGGAAAAUGAAGUAGCUUGGUAUUACUUUCAGCAUUAUGAUUUACUUUGAUAAGUAGCAUUGUUUUAUAAAAAUAUUAUAAGCACAUUUUCAAUGUUUUACUACUUUUUAGGAUUGUUCUGAUUUACACAGAUGUUCUGAUAUGUUCUUCUUUACACAGAGAUAUACUUUAAAAAUCUGGCUGGUGUCUUCUAUCUUGUUUCCAUUCCAAUUGAACUUGUAGCACACAAACUGACUGAAUUUGUAACGCUGUAGCGCCCUCUGGUGAUCAUACAGUAAAUAGUGGGGGAAUCCACAUCUGGUCCUGGUGAGUCCAGUCUGAUAUUUUAGUUAUAAGAUUGUACUGUUUUCACAGUCUUUGUUACAACGACGACUGAUCUUCCUUUGUGUUGCUCUAAGAUGUUUAGGCAUCUCCGGGGUAAAUAAUGUGACUGUGACACUUGUAAAAAAUACAAUAAAAUACUUGACAAGUUUAAAUACUUAUCGAGUCUGUUUGUUUAUCAGGUAAACACUAUUUAUAAUCAUAAAA
RNAcentral lists this long non-coding RNA (2298 nucleotides) under Sinocyclocheilus anshuiensis. RNAcentral describes it as "lncRNA (ENSSANG00000048041.1)". The record is from RNAcentral. Lineage: Eukaryota; Metazoa; Chordata; Actinopteri; Cypriniformes; Cyprinidae.